Molecule: long non-coding RNA, 437 nt
Organism: Pseudophryne corroboree (corroboree frog)
Lineage: Eukaryota; Metazoa; Chordata; Amphibia; Anura; Myobatrachidae
Exons: 3
Source: RefSeq, a predicted model, not a curated record
CUCCCAGAACCCGGCGCAUUGCUGCGCACAUGCACAGGUCGAUCGGCGAUAGAUAGCUUCGGCCUGGAGAGGCGUGCUGCAGACACGGAGCGGCGCAGCCUGGGAGCAGUAGAAGCCGCGGGUGAGGCUUACAGUCACUCAGCACAGCGUCGGCGGUGUGUGUACCGGCCCUGCUUCCAUGUCUGCAUCAGGAAAGAGAACACUGAACGAUCCCUAGCAAAUAUAUUGACACAGCAGCCCGCUCCUCACCGUACCAACUGCACCGCUACGGUCACCCAGACUGACAUCACGGAGCUGAGACACAGAAUGCUGCAGGUACAGCCUUGGGAUGUAUUAAUGAGCACAAUAGCAACAUCAGGGGGAUGAAAAUCAGGUCGUAGGAUGGGAAUAGAAUGCGGAUUUGGAUGAAGAAACAAUAAAAGACUUACAAGGCCGAA